AUUGAACGCUGGCGGCAUGCCUUACACAUGCAAGUCGAACGGCAGCACGGGUGCUUGCACCUGGUGGCGAGUGGCGAACGGGUGAGUAAUACAUCGGAACAUGUCCUGUAGUGGGGGAUAGCCCGGCGAAAGCCGGAUUAAUACCGCAUACGAUCUACGGAUGAAAGCGGGGGACCUUCGGGCCUCGCGCUAUAGGGUUGGCCGAUGGCUGAUUAGCUAGUUGGUGGGGUAAAGGCCUACCAAGGCGACGAUCAGUAGCUGGUCUGAGAGGACGACCAGCCACACGGGGACUGAGACACGGCCCAGACUCCUACGGGAGGCAGCAGUGGGGAAUUUUGGACAAUGGGCGAAAGCCUGAUCCAGCAAUGCCGCGUGUGUGAAGAAGGCCUUCGGGUUGUAAAGCACUUUUGUCCGGAAAGAAAUCCUUGGCCCUAAUACGGUCGGGGGAUGACGGUACCAGAAGAAUAAGCACCGGCUAACUACGUG
RNAcentral lists this ribosomal RNA (486 nucleotides) under uncultured bacterium. RNAcentral describes it as "partial 16S ribosomal RNA". It matches the Rfam family "Bacterial small subunit ribosomal RNA", at positions 30 to 507 of the family's 1533-position model. The record is from RNAcentral.